CGAUGUCGGCUCAUCGCAUCCUGGAGCUGGAUUAGGUUCCAAGGGUUGGGCUGUUCGCCCAUUAAAGCGGUACGCGAGCUGGGUUCAGAACGUCGUGAGACAGUUCGGUCCCUAUCUGUCGCAGGCGGAGGAUAUUUGAGAGGAGCUGUUCCUAGUACGAGAGGACCGGAAUGGACGCACCUCUGGUGCACCAGUUGUCGUGCCAACGGCACAGCUGGGUAGCUAAGUGCGGAAGGGAUAAACGCUGAAGGCAUCUAAGCGUGAAGCCCCCCUCAAGAUAAGAUAUCCCACACCAUAAGGUGGUAAGGUCCCAUAUAGACUAUGUGGUUGAUAGGUCACGAGUGUAAGUGUGGUAACAUAUUAAGCUGAGUGAUACUAAUAGACCGAGGGCUUGACCAAGAA
Molecule: ribosomal RNA, 402 nt
Filed under: Oscillospiraceae bacterium
Lineage: Bacteria; Bacillati; Bacillota; Clostridia; Eubacteriales; Oscillospiraceae
Description: partial 23S ribosomal RNA
Rfam family: Bacterial large subunit ribosomal RNA
Source: RNAcentral